GGCAUUUGGCUGCCUUCUGUCCCUCUCAGAACAAUACAGAGAUUAUCAUGGCCCCUACACAAGGAUGACAUGGAGAUUCAUGAAACAUUCCAUUUAAAA
Small nuclear RNA from Gorilla gorilla gorilla (western lowland gorilla), 99 nucleotides. NCBI's taxonomy places the organism in Eukaryota, Metazoa, Chordata, Mammalia, Primates, Hominidae. The record is from Ensembl.